RNAcentral lists this long non-coding RNA (400 nucleotides) under Rattus norvegicus (Norway rat). RNAcentral describes it as "long non-coding RNA NONRATT023058". The record is from RNAcentral. Lineage: Eukaryota; Metazoa; Chordata; Mammalia; Rodentia; Muridae.
GAAAACUGGGCUCUACCAUAUUUUGCAUGCCAAGUUGCUGCACUUACAGGCUAUUUAAAGAGAAAUGUAAAUACGUACGCAGAGAGGUUUUGCUACUUGUUGCUGAGUACCUCGACGUACACGUUCAUGAUGGUGUGGGAGUACAGCCACUACAUCCUGUUUCUUCAAGCAGUCUCCCUGCUGCUGUUAGACAUCUUCUCAGUGCAGCAAAGCGACAAGGUUUAUGAAGUAUAUAAAAUCUACAUAUUUUCUCUCUUCCUUGGGUAUUUACUGCAGUUUGAGAAUCCAGCUUUAUUGGUAUCUCCUUUAUUAAGCUUAACAGGAGCGUUCAUGCUUAUUAAGUGCUUUCAGCUAAAUGUGAAAAAAGGAACGUUUGUGGCCAAAGUAAUCAAAGUGUUUG